AGAGCUUGCUCCUUUGACGUUAGCGGCGGACGGGUGAGUAACACGUGGAUAACCUACCUAUAAGACUGGGAUAACUUCGGGAAACCGGAGCUAAUACCGGAUAAGAUUUUGAACCGCAUGGUUCAAUAGUGAAAGACGGCCUUGCUGUCACUUAUAGAUGGAUCCGCGCCGUAUUAGCUAGUUGGUAAGGUAACGGCUUACCAAGGCAACGAUACGUAGCCGACCUGAGAGGGUGAUCGGCCACACUGGAACUGAAACACGGUCCAGACUCCUACGGGAGGCAGCAGUAGGGAAUCUUCCGCAAUGGGCGAAAGCCUGACGGAACAACGCCGCGUGAGUGAUGAAGGUCUUCGGAUCGUAAAACUCUUUUAUCAGGGAAGAACAAACGUGUAAGUAACUGUGCACGUCUUGACGGUACCUGAUCAAAAAGCCACGGCUAACUACGUGCCAGCAGCCGCGGUAAUAAGUAGUUGGCAAGCGUUAUCCGAAAUUAUUGGGCGUAAAGCGGGCGGAGGCGGUUUUUUAAAUCCGAUGUGAAAAACCCACGGUGUCAACCGUGCACGGUCAUUGGAAAACUGGAAAACUUUUAGUGGAAAAAAAAGAGAGGGGGAAAUUCCCUGUGAGAGCGGAGAAAAUGCGCGAUAGAUAUGGGAGGGAACACCCAGUGG
This 668-nucleotide ribosomal RNA is filed under the name Staphylococcus pasteuri. RNAcentral's name for it is "bacterial SSU rRNA". It matches the Rfam family "Bacterial small subunit ribosomal RNA", at positions 75 to 716 of the family's 1533-position model. The record is from RNAcentral. Lineage: Bacteria; Bacillati; Bacillota; Bacilli; Caryophanales; Staphylococcaceae.